This is a non-coding RNA of Lontra canadensis (Northern American river otter), 699 nucleotides long. The record is from the annotation of a RefSeq genome assembly. Lineage: Eukaryota; Metazoa; Chordata; Mammalia; Carnivora; Mustelidae.
GAGGAUAGAGUGAGCCUGGCCCAGCUGUGGUUCUCAGAAGACAGAGCACUGAGCACAUGCACCAUGGCCUGGACUCCUCUCUCACUUCUCGUCGUCACUCUCUGCACAGGCUCUGUGACCUCCAGUGAGCUGACUCAGCCAUGCUUUGUGUCAGUGGCCCUGGGACAGACGGAUACAAUCACCUGCACUGGAGAGGAACUGGAAUAUGAUUAUGUACACUGGUACCAGCAGAAGCCAGGAGAAGCCCCUUUGACAGUCAUUUAUGCAGAUAGUGAGCGGCCCUCUGGGAUCCCAGAGCGAUUCUCUGGCUCCAAGUCAGGGAACACGGCUACCCUCACCAUCAGCAGGGCACAGGCCAAGGACGAGGCUGACUGUUACUGUCAGCUGUGGGAUAGUGGUAAUGCUCAUAGUGACACAGGCAGAUGGGGAACCAGUGUGUCUGGGCUUAGUGCAGCUGCUUACAGUGUGCAGAAGGACCAAUUCUGGAUGGCCGGCCUGCCAGAACCCACCCGACCCCUCAGCGAUGGGAUCUUCCUGGAGGUGGACCCUGACCCCAAGCAGACUGACUGGCAUUCCUUGGAGGAAGAGAUAGCUCCCUAUGAGGUGGGCCAUCAGCCUCCCCAGCCCAUCCCUAUAAGCCCCCAGAAAGUCUGCACCAUGAAUGGCCAGAAAGUGAAUGCUGGGGCUUUAUGCAAGUAG